GUUUGAUCCUGGCUCAGGACGAACGCUGGCGGCGUGCCUAAUACAUGCAAGUAGAACGCUGAAGAGAGGAGCUUGCUCUUCUUGGAUGAGUUGCGAACGGGUGAGUAACGCGUAGGUAACCUGCCUUGUAGCGGGGGAUAACUAUUGGAAACGAUAGCUAAUACCGCAUAACAAUGGACGACACAUGUCAUUUAUUUGAAAGGGGCAAUUGCUCCACUACAAGAUGGACCUGCGUUGUAUUAGCUAGUAGGUGAGGUAAUGGCUCACCUAGGCGACGAUACAUAGCCGACCUGAGAGGGUGAUCGGCCACACUGGGACUGAGACACGGCCCAGACUCCUACGGGAGGCAGCAGAAGGGCGAAUUCGU
This 367-nucleotide ribosomal RNA is filed under the name uncultured Streptococcus sp. Its description in RNAcentral is "bacterial SSU rRNA". It matches the Rfam family "Bacterial small subunit ribosomal RNA", at positions 11 to 368 of the family's 1533-position model. Lineage: Bacteria; Bacillati; Bacillota; Bacilli; Lactobacillales; Streptococcaceae. The record is from RNAcentral.